AAGCCAAUGAGGAUUUCAUUAUUAUAGUUGGAAUUACAGACUGAAUAUUUAAUUUAUUUUUAUGUCAACUCGACUGGCUGAGGCUUCCU
This 89-nucleotide small nucleolar RNA is filed under the name Gossypium arboreum. The record is from RNAcentral. Lineage: Eukaryota; Viridiplantae; Streptophyta; Magnoliopsida; Malvales; Malvaceae.